RNAcentral lists this transfer RNA (68 nucleotides) under Meromyza saltatrix. Its description in RNAcentral is "tRNA-His". The record is from RNAcentral. Lineage: Eukaryota; Metazoa; Arthropoda; Insecta; Diptera; Chloropidae.
GAUUUAAAAUGAAUUAUAAUUCAUAUCAUUGACACCACAAAUCAAUAUUUUUAUUAAACUAUUUAAAU